Molecule: long non-coding RNA, 887 nt
Filed under: Homo sapiens (human)
Lineage: Eukaryota; Metazoa; Chordata; Mammalia; Primates; Hominidae
Description: long independently transcribed non-coding RNA 1673, transcript variant 4 (LINC01673)
Source: RNAcentral
ACAUGGUAUCCCAGCAACCAAAUGUACAACACAGGAGACAGAUGAAUUUCUCAUUCUUGUAGGCUACCAUUUCUUUUGGCUUAUUACAAAACAACAGGAUGCUGCAGCUUUAUCAAAGUCUACUUAUUUGUCCACUAAAAGUUUAUGGCUAUACGUUUCCAACUAGAACAUCUGAACACCAAUAUAUGGAAUUCUGACAAAGUUAAAACCAGGAAGAGAUCCUAUGAAGGCUGACAUUUUGUACAUCUGUUUUAUAGAACAAUAAAAAUAAGAAGAACAAGAAUAAGAACAGCAACAACAUUUGCAGCCACUGUCUAGACCACAGGAAACCUGGUCAACAACAUAUGGGAUGUCACCAGAUUCAGACUCAGAAGUUUCCAUAAUGCCGUUGCCAACAGCUAGACACAAUGAAGAAACGGCUAUAUAGAGAGAUAAAGAAGCUUGCUCAAGGAUACACAGCCAGAAAGCAAAAGAGUUGGAGUUUGAACUUCGACAGUCUAACUCGAGGUUCUUUCUCUGUGUUUAAUCAGUCAACCACACUGCCUCUUCAGAAGCACGCAUAAUUAGGUGAUCUCCCACCAGAGUGUACCAACAAGUGGAUCGGUCAAGAUAAAUCAUUACAGUGUGUCGAGAAACUAUUAGAACACCUAUUUAAAGGCAGUCUUAAUUUUUCUUAAGUUCUAAAAGCAUAAAUGAAUGUCAAUAUUUAUAUGUGUAAGCUGUUAAAAAUUACAACAAAUACUCUAAUGCUUAUCAACAACCCUGGUAACUAAAACAUCAGCAAUAUUUCUGAGUUUCUCUUCAAAUUCAUCUUCUCUUUUCUGCUGUUUGUCUCUUUCCCAAAGUAUACAUUGGUAAUAAAACUGAAAUUUUGGUCUUCAUUUCUU